Long non-coding RNA from Xenia sp. Carnegie-2017, 774 nucleotides. RefSeq lists it as uncharacterized. Lineage: Eukaryota; Metazoa; Cnidaria; Anthozoa; Malacalcyonacea; Xeniidae. The record is from RefSeq and is a predicted model, not a curated record. The transcript is spliced from 2 exons.
AAUUGAACUUCCGUCCUUUAAAUGACGUCACGCACUCAAAGUCAAAUUCGCAUCAAAACAAGCAAAUAUGCCAUGUUUGAACGCAAAGUUCGAUGCGUUCCCAUCGACUAAAUUCAGUGGGCGAUAGCUCAAAAUGAUCAGUAAAAUACAGAGAAAACGUUUGUAUCGAAAAACGAAAUAUGAAAAUUUCACUUCAGUAGAACUUUAAGCAAAUACUGGACAGAAAUAUUUCAUGGGAAGAAAUGGAAUCUAUUGAACUGAGGAUAGAUAAUGCAAAAGAGGUAAUCAGAACUAAAACAAUAUUCAAAGAACACAGUCGUACCUCAGCAUUAUGGCUAAACUAUACGUGAAUAGAUUGUAUUCUUUGGACAUUUAUCACAGCAGAAUGCUACGGCAAGAAGCAUCUGCACUUACACGUAAUCAGCAAGAUGCCCAACAGUGACAAUGAGCUUUGAACUUUGACAUGCGGCUUAUUAUCUUUGUACUUUAUAUAUUUACAACUGUUAAUGAAUUAAUUGAAAUGUAGUUUUGGAUAAGAAUAAAACUAAAUUUCGAAACCAAAUACUUAAUAAAAUUAUUCAGGUAGAUUACGCGUAUCUUCCUCAAGUUUCUUUUUUUUUAAAGAUGUCUGACUAGAUUAUUUCUUUAAAAAUUUAACUAAACGUUGUUGGAAAUGAUAUUAGAUUGAAUCCAAACCCUUUUUAUAAACAAAUUUAUCCAAAUUUAUUGGUGAGACGUGGCAAUAUUAGCAAUAAAGAGACAUUUCGAUGAAAA